This 497-nucleotide ribosomal RNA is filed under the name uncultured bacterium. Its description in RNAcentral is "partial 16S ribosomal RNA". It matches the Rfam family "Bacterial small subunit ribosomal RNA", at positions 28 to 507 of the family's 1533-position model. The record is from RNAcentral.
GAUGAACGCUGGCGGCGUGCCUAAUACAUGCAAGUCGAGCGAACAGACGAGGAGCUUGCUCCUCUGACGUUAGCGGCGGACGGGUGAGUAACACGUGGAUAACCUACCUAUAAGACUGGGAUAACUUAGGGAAACCGGAGCUAAUACCGGAUAAUAUAUUGAACCGCAUGGUUCAAUAGUGAAAGACGGCUUUGCUGUCACUUAUAGAUGGAUCCGCGCCGCAUUAGCUAGUUGGUAAGGUAACGGCUUACCAAGGCAACGAUGCGUAGCCGACCUGAGAGGGUGAUCGGCCACACUGGAACUGAGACACGGUCCAGACUCCUACGGGAGGCAGCAGUAGGGAAUCUUCCGCAAUGGGCGAAAGCCUGACGGAGCAACGCCGCGUGAGUGAUGAAGGUCUUCGGAUCGUAAAACUCUGUUAUUAGGGAAGAACAAAUGUGUAAGUAACUAUGCACGCCUUGACGGUACCUAAUCAGAAAGCCACGGCUAACUACGUG